GGAGUGUAAUCCAAAGUGAAAGGGCAAGGGAGGUCUAGCUAGAGGGAGGGUGGCAGGGGAUCGGGGCCUGGUGUGGAAGUCAUGCGUUGCACUCAUGUGUGCAUGGACCCCAGCAGGGUAAGUGUGAGGCCACAGGCGGGACCCCAUGUGCCAUGCUUAGGGGUUCAGACAUUGUCCUGGAGAUGAUGAAGGACCCCUGAGAGUUUUAAGCAGAGUUGGGUGUGAAGAUGGAUCUGAGAGGCCAAGACCGAGCAGGGAGACAAGUCAUGAUGGUCCUGAUCCGAGACGGUGUGGGAGGUGGGAACUGACUUUAAGAUGGUGGAAAUGCAAAGCCAGGUGAUGUUUCUGGGACAGGAUUGACCAAAUCUAGUGACCUACUAGAUAUAGGGAGAAAAAAUAAGGAAAGCAUAGGGGAUCACACUGAGGGUUUGCAUUUGAGAGACUAGAGUCAGGAGGCAAGGCAGGAUGGGGGUGGAGAAGGGGAAUGAUGGGGCUGAAAUUAGACCACAGUGGUGGUGGGAAUGUGGACACUGAGGGAAGAGGAGGCAGUGAGCACACGAGUCUUUCAUGAUGUUUGGUGAUGAAGAGAAGGAGGGAUGUUCUGUAGCUUUAAAGGAUUUUUCAAAAGUAGGAGAAAGAACCUGUUUGUAAGUAGAGGGAAGAUACGGUAGAGAGGGAGAGAUCAUAGGGUGUAGAGAACUGCCAUUUGCUGAGUGGGUGCCGCUUGCAGGCCCGGAGCCAUGCCCUUAACAUGCAUAUCUCAUUUCAGCAGCAUGCCAACCCAUGGGGUAGCUCUACUUAUACCCAUUUUCUGAAUGAAGAAACUGAGGCAGACCGAUGGAUUCACCCAGGGAUGGGACUUGCUGAGCAGUUGAAGCAAAAGAAUAGAGUGACUGGGAAGGGAAGAAAAUGAAGUCAAACGAAAGCUAAUAGAAUGGGGUGGCGGAGUGCGGGGCUUAACGGGCUGAGGGGUGUCUAUAUUCCAGACGUGGGAUUUGGAGUUGUUCUGGCUAAUGUCAAAGACCACACACAAGGACAUGGACGUCAACGGUUCAUUCACAUGAGAUGACAGUUACCCAGGAUGAACCAACUGCAAAAAGCUGUCUGUGGAUGGUAACUGCAGGUGACCUGAAUGCAUGUGCCUCCUCCUUCUUUUUCCGCUUUUUGUCUUUUCCUUAAGCCUCUCUGAACAGUAUCUUCAGAAGUGUCUGUUUCCCACAGAGCAUGGUGUGUCCAAGAAAUACCCCACAUUCCCAUUGCCUUUGCUAUUUAAUGCUGUAGUUGGGAGAGGCAGUCUUGCUUUCUGCUUGCCUGUCUUUUUGGAGCACAUAUGAACUACAAAUAGAUACAGCCCACAUUUUGCCUCAAAGAUAUAUUCUUUGUUUUCUCCAAGUUGCCAAGUUGAACUCUAAGCUGAUGUUUAAUUUAUCUGUGGUAAUGAGGAACGGGGAUAGCCUUGCAUAAUUGGAAUCUGAAGAUAAGCCAAAAGCUUCUUUUAGCCAAAAUUCCUACAUCCUUUCCCACCAACUCUUUAUGCCUGUGUUGCUAACAAAUGGCAAAUUGACUAAUCUGAGUUUCACCAGUUCUUUGUGUGGUGUAUCUGACCUUUCACAAUGGGUUCAUACCAGAGUCCACUUCCAUGGUCCUUCAAGAUGUGGGUGUCUGGUUCUCAGGUAACCAACCAAAACCUUUGUACCUACCACUCAUGUAUAUUUCAGUUGAAGUUAGAAAAGCACCCCCUCAGUCUAUAGCUAACCUCUGGUGAAAUUGAGGAAUGAAUGAAUUGCUAAGCCAUCUAUAAAUAGAAUUCCGGGACAAUUCAUCUGAUGUGAGAGACAACCCUUUGAUAGGUUUCUGAGAAGAUGUGUGAAGCCACUACUCUCAAUUGUUCUUUCAUUUACUUUUUGCUAAUCAAAGCCCCAGACAUAUUCCAAAAUGUGAGAUGUUUUGGAAGAUUAACCAAAACACAAGCUGAAAUUUACCAGGGGCUCUGUAUAAAGUUAUACCCUUAGGCUUUUAUUCUCAAAGCCCUCCCAAGUACAGAAGUGUAGCAUGGGAUGAUGUGACAUAGAAUCGCAGAGUGGGAGGAGCCCACCAUACUUCAAUUCAGUGUAUCCAGAAGGAAAACUAAGGUUCACAGACUUGCUUAGGGGCUUAGUCAAGGGACUAUUUGUUCAGAACCAACAUUCAUACAAAGAGUCUUAAAUUUAAAAGGGGAUUUAUUUCAGAGAAACCUCAUGGAAACCAGUUGAAAGAGGGUUAGUGGGGACUUUCGGGAAGUGAAAAGUCGCUGGUUAAUUUCUCUGUUUCUAUCUCUGUGGGGCCUUGCAGAUUCUUUUCUUUGCUUCCGGGAGCCUUCUUCAUAUCUGCAGUGGAUAUGAGGUGAUAUGGUUUGGCUCUGUUCCCCACCCAAAUCUCAUCUCGAAUUGUAAUCCUACGAUCGCCACGUGUCAAGGGCAGAAACUGGUAGGAGGUGAUUGGAUCGUGGGGGCAGUGUGCUGUUCUCGUGAUAGUGAGUGAGUUCUCACGAGAUCUGAUGAUUUUAUAAAGGGCUCUUCCCCUUUCGCCAUUCACUCUGUCCUGCUGCCUUGUGAAGAAGGUGUCUGCUUCCUCUUCACCUUCUGCCAUGAUUGUCAGUUUCCUGAGGCCUUCCCAGCCAUGCUGAACUGUGAGUCAAUGAAACCUCUUUCCUUUAUAAAUUACCCAGUCUCGGGUAUUUCUUUAGAGCAGUGUGAGAAUGGACUAACACGAGGCUUCGCUGGUCUCUCAUGACCAACCCAAAAGGCAAGGUCAGCUUCCAUGUCUCAAUGGCCUUCCAGUGAGGCCCCUCACAGCUAACUGACCAGGGCAGGGGUCUCCUUGGUCCAGCUGAGAUCAGGGCCUGGCUCCGGCCCAUGCCUGUGGUAAGAGUGGGACUAUCCCUUGUGGAGCUGACAAGGGCUGACUCUCUGUAAGGGUGGCUAAGGCACUACUGGCCACUCUGGUGCCCCAGGAUGGCACAGGCAGGUCAGAACCUGGCUGUCACUCCAGGCCAGCCUUCUGCCACUGACUGGAAAGGUGGGCUCAAACACAACUGCAGUUAAAAGAGAGGAAUUGCCCCGGAGGUGAAUGCAGUCACCUGCAUAGGGGAAAAGGAGGUGAGAGGCCUGCUCUACUCCCCCUGAUCAGAUGCCAUCCAAGGGCACAUGGCUGACAUGUUUGAAGAAAAACCCAGAGUCAACUCAGAGCCCAACUCAGGCCUGAUAAAAAGUGACUAUGAUGAUGAAGAGAUUCAAAAUUAUGCUGCAGAAGGAAUGGCUGGAGGGUCUAGGCGUAUUUCACCUGGAAAGAGGAAGCUUUAAAGGAGAUGUGAGUCUUUUGUCCAAAUGUGUAGACUGACUAAAUUCUUUAAAGAGUUUUAUGUUUGUGUAUAUCUGAAGGGUCCAGAACUAGCAUCAAAGGGUAGAAUUUAGAGGGAGGAAGACUUUGGAUUAAAAUUAGGGGCCACAUACUUUCUGUGAGGGUAUCUUGAUAUUGGCUGCCCUGUCACAUUUAAGAAAGGAUGGGAUGAUCAUUCGUAAGAGAAGCUGUAGAGCUGAUCCACAAACUAAGGGAGUUCUGAAGUCUAUUCUAGUUUGGAAUUCUAUGGCUCUGCUGCAGGUGCAUCUGGUUGGCUGGAUUGAUUGCUAUCACAGGGGCAGAGGCCACUGUGUAUGAUCACUUAGGUCAGUGAAAUCAGUAGAGGCCAAGCGGCUGCACCACUGGAGGACAGCAGGUUGCCCUGAUCCUGAAUCCCUUCAACACUGGGCCUUCUCACAUCUGUUUGAGACAAGCCACUUUCAGCUGAGAUGCACUAGAUCCUUCAAGCCUCUCUACCACCCACAGGGUCACCAUCUGCUGGAGCGGCCAGUGGGGCUGCAGGUUACCCAUCAAAGCCCAAGCUAUGAAAUUGUCAUUGAGAGGAGUGCUUUAGACAUAGAGCUCAUUUGGUGGCAGAGAUCAGAAGCUUGUUCAAAGCAGCCUGGAAUUUUUAAAAGAAUAAGGGAAACAUGUAAAGGCAGCUUGCAGUCUAUCUGAGAAAACAAGACAUACCCUCAAGCAGAUAAUUGCCAUUUACAGUCAUUCCUAUGAUCUCAGCACUAUGUGGGUUUAAUCAGCCUUCUGCUAAAAGGAACCAGGUCCAAGACAUUCAGCAUGGCAUGGUAGCUAAGCAAGAUCCAGUGUCUUCAUUCAGCACUGACAGAGUCACUGUCUCUGAGCAGUACUUAGCUACAGAAACUUUGAAGCCUUCUGCAAUUUAUUAUGCUGAGUGCAUCUAAUCAACAUGUAGAAUAAAGAUGGAGCUCCAGAGAAGUUAGCACGCAAUCUGGGUGACAGGUGCUGAGCAAGGACAGCCUCUUCCCAAUACUCUCCAAGCGGCCUGCUGUUUCCAGGGAAUGAUAUUAUCAUUCUUGGCAUCUAGAACAGGACUCAAUGUAAGAUUGUCUAAGGCAGUCACUGGCUACAGUUCAUGGAAGCUUCAGGACGGCACUUGGCAUGAGCUCUCAGUGCUAUGGAAAAAAGAAGCUCUUAGGUGGAAUAUUUCUAGCUAAAAAAUGUAUAGUUUUUUUUGUUGUUGUUUCUGUUCCUUUCAUUUUUAUUUUUAGAAAUAGGAUUUCAAAGGGCAUUUGUCCUGGUCCCUCAGGAAAGAACAUUUUCUAAAGUGUUCCCAUCAACAAUGCCUCAGGUGUUACAGGUCCCUACUCUUGGCCAUCCAGCUCUGCCACCGUGCCUGGAUUCUGCAUUUUCAAAGGGACCAGCUUACCAGCAGCAUCCUCUUCCUGCUGCCUCUUGACUCACACAGAUCCCAUCAAUAAGCAUUCACUGAGGCCUGCUCUAAGUGAGGCUCUGGGGAGAGUGCUGUGGGAGCUUCAAGAGCAAUAGCAGCCCUGAGCUCCAGGAGCUUCCCCUCUGAGGUGGGGAAUUGCGAUGCAUGGAACAUCUCCAACACACAAAGCAGACUCUUGCUAGGCUUCGAACUGGAAUUGCAUUGAUCGUAUUAACUUGGGGGAGAUCUGAUAUAUUUAAAAGAAAAAAAUAAGCCGGGCAUGGCGGCUCACGUCUGUAAUCCCAGCACUUGGGGAGACUGAGGUAGGUGGAUCAUUUGAGGUCAGGAGUUUGAGACCAGCCUGGCCAACAUGGUGAGACCCCGUCUCUACUAAAAAUACAAAAAUUAGCCGGGCGUGGUGGGUGCCUGUAAGCCCAGCUACGUGGGAGGCUGAGGCAGGAGAAUCGCUUGAACUUGAGAGAUGGAGGCUGCAGUGAGCUGAGAUCAUGCCACUGCACUUCAGCCUGGGUGACAGAGUGAGACUCUGUCUCAAAAAAGAAAAAAAAAAAAAAAGAAAAAAAUAUAGGCGAUGGAACAGAAAAGUGGGCAGUGGCUAUGAAGAUGCAAUCCAAAUAUAAGGUAAUACUUAUCACCAAAGAAAUAGCAAUUAAGACAACAGUGAGACAGCAUCUUGUGUCUGUCAGAUUGGAGGAAAAAUACUAAAUUGAAUAAUGUGAAUUGUUGUUGAGGAUUGUGGAACUAGCCUUCCAUGAAACGUUUCUAGAAGUCUAAAUGAGUGUAGACACUCCAGAGAGCAAUCUGGCGGUAUUUAGCAAUCCCAUACCUGGGCAUAUAACUUGGACAAACUCUGAUUAUAACAGACUAGGCCCAAGGAUAUGUUUAUUGCAGUAUUAUUGGUGGUAGUGAUGAGUUGGAGGCAAUAUAAGUUUCUACCACAAGGAGGGUUGAUAUGAGCGUUUGAUGAAUAGUAUGCAGUAGUCAGAAUAAUAAAACAGAUGUACACUCAGCAUGGAGAAAUCUGAAUAAGAUACUGUUGGCUGAUGACAGUAAGACAUGGAUUGAGAUAUAUAGUAGAGUGUCAUUUAUAUAAAUUCAAAACACGUGCACAAGAUGAUCAUGUCUCUAGUAGCUACAAAAGUGCUUGAUACAGAGUAGGCCUUCAGUAAAUUGUUUUACUUGUUGUCAAUAAAAAUAUAUAUACUAAAUAAAUAUCUAACAUUUAUGUAAGUUAAGAAUACAUAGACAUAUACAUAUUUUAAGGGUAUAUACAAAUGCGAAACAUAAUUUAAGGGUACGGCUCUUCUGGAUAGUCCAGCGUUCAAAUGGAGUUCUCUGGAGUGAAGUAAAAUUAAUUCACAAACCUCUGUUGCAUCCAAGGUCAAAUACUCUCACGAACACCCACUCUCUGUUCCCUGGUUUAAUACUCACUGAGUAACAUUCUGAAGCCUGAGACUUUUAUACAUACCCAGUUUCCAGAAAAGGCACAAAGAAGCUUUCCCCAAAAGAAAAUACAUGAAUAUUCCAUUUAUUUAAAAACAUCCGAGCAGGUCUAAGCAAUAUAAAUUAAUAUAGCAGCAUCAGUGUCUUGUGAGUUAAGACGAGUGUCCUAAGAUUUAGUUGCUUAACUGAUUCCUCUAUGUCCCUAAAUCAAAUGAUGAAAUACAGAUUUAGGUUCCAUUUUUUUGAAAGAAUACUUCAUAGGUCAUUCUGUCUACUUCCUACUGCACCACAUUUAGGAGGGAGGCACAUCAUGUGUGGUUGUCUCUUUAGUAAUUCUGAGAUUGGUCAAGGGGUCCAGGUGGUGUCUGACCUUAUUCCAUCAUUACAAAAGAAGUCACCAUCUACUUUUUACCUAGUGGUUUCAGUAUCUUUGGAUAAUCACUGCCCGGAUUUAUCAAGGUUUGCAAAAUGAUUUUCUAAUUCUGUGGUUCCUUCUAUACACAUUAGCUGGGAUUCUUCAAAAUGUAACUUACAAAACAAACAAAAUCACUAUCAAGACUUGACAUUCCUUCUUCCAUAUCAAUUUUCAGAAUAGUGAUAAAAGUUACCAGUAAUGAUUUCUAGUGGAGACCAAUAUGUUUUUCUCAUCAUUAUAUACUUUUUUUUUUUUUUGAGACAGAGUCUUGCUCUGUCACCAGGCUAGAGUGCAGUGGUGUGAUCUCUGCUCACUGCAACUUCCGCAUCCUGGGUUCAAGCAAUUCUCCUGCCUCAGCCUCCCAAGUAGCUGGGACUACAGGUGCACACCACCACGCCCAGCUGAUUUUUGUAGUUUUAGUAGAGACAGGGUUUCACCAUAUUGGCCAGGAUGGUCUCGAUCUCUUGACCUCGUGACCUGCCCACCUCAGCCUCCCAAAGUGCUGGGAUUACAGGCAUGAGCCACUGCGCCCAGCCCAUAAAUUUUUAUAUAUUUGAUGAGGUUGAAUUAAUUGCCAUCAUUAUUCUCUUUUCUCUCUCUCUUUAGGAUCCUUAAACAGCUUAUAUUCAAUAAACUGCAUAUGUUUAAAUGGCACACUUUGUAAAGUUUGGUGAUACUGUACAGUCACAAAAGCAUAAUCAAUGUAGCAAACAUAUCUAUUGUAAUCUAAAAUGUCCUUGUGCCUUUUUUAACCUCCUGCUCCUCCUCCAUACUAUAUCCCCAGGCGACCUCUGAUUUACUUUAUGUUGGAAUUUUUGAGAAAUUCAUACAAAUGGCAUUAUUUAGUAUGUACUCUUUGUGUCUGACUGCUUUUACUCAGCAUAAUUAUUUUGAGAUUCAACAUGUUGUCUGUAUCAAUACCUUUAAUUGUCAAGUGGUAUGCUAUUGUAUGACUAUGUCACAAUUGUUUAGCCAUCGAUGAACAUUUGGGUCGUUUCCAGUUUGGGGUUACUACAAAUAAAGCUGCUAAGAACAUUUUUAUAUAAAUCUUUGUGCAGACAUAGAUUUUAUUUCUAUGGGAUAAAUACCUACUAGUGGAAAGGCUACAUCAGAUAGUAGGGUAUAUACUUAACUUUUCAAAAAAAACUGCAAAUGUGCUUUCCAUAGAAGUGCUAUUGCACAUUUCUCCUGAGCAUGAGAAUUUCAAUUCUUCCCCAUUCUCUCCAAUAUUUAGUAUGGUCAGACCUUAUAAUUUUAUCCAUUUUAAUAGGAGUAUAUUAUGGUUUGAAUGUGUCCCCUCCAAAAUUCAGGUGUUGACAUUUAAUGGCCAAUGUGAUAGUAUCAAGAGAUAGGACCUUUAAGAGGUGGUUAGGUCCUGAGGACUCCUCACUCAUGAAUGGGAUUAAGAGAUUUCGUGCAGCUUUUGACUCCCUUGCCCUUUCACCUUUCACCAUGUGAGGACACAGUGUUCCUCCCCUCCAGAGGACGCCACAACUGGGCGCCAUCUGGGAAGCAGAGGGCAGUCCUCAAUAGACAAAGGAACCUGCCAGCAUCUUGAUCUGGGACCUUGCAGCCUCCAGAAACUAUGAGAAAUACAUUUUUGUUCUUUGAUAAAUUACCCAGUCUUCUGUAUUUUGUUAUGGCAGCACAAAAAGAACUGUGACACUGUGUACAUGUACUUAAUCGUGGUUUUACAGCAGUCUCCCUUUCUCUGCUGUUUCACUUUUUUGUUGUUUGUUUGUUUUGAGAUGGAGUCUCGUUCUUGUCGCCCAGUCUGGAGUGCAAUGGCGUGAUCUCGGCUCACCGCAACCUGUCCUCCUGGGUUCAAGCAAUUCUUCUGCCUCAGCCUCCGAAGUAGCUAGGCUUACAGACACGUGCCACCACACCCUGCCAAUUUUUGUAUUUUUAGUAGACAGGCUGUUAGGCAGGCUGGUCUUGAACUCCUAACCUCAGGUGAUCCGCCCACCUUGGCCUCCCAAAGUGCUGGGAUUACAGGCAUGAGCCACCGCACCCAGCAUGCUGAUUCACUUUCUGCAGUUUCAGUUACCCACAGUCAACCAUGGGCCAGAACAUAGUUACACUGCCACAAGUUGUGGAUGGGAGGGCUGGAUUUCCUGAACCCUUCCCAGCAUUGCUCGAGUUUCUUGGUUCCUCCGCUAGAGAAGAGGAGCCCCAGAGCUCUGUAGGCUCCAGAUGAAGUGACCACUUCUUAGCACCUCCACAAUUGACACCUCGUCUGUCACCACCUCUCUGCCUGGGUGACUACAGUGGUGGCCCCCUCCCUGCCCUCCAAGUGCCCACGCUUGCCCCUACAGUCUGUUCCCAACACAGCAGCCAGAGAGACCAUCUUGCAAUAAAAGUGCCCAAAUCAUAAGCAGACAUCUCAUUGGAUUUACUGAGCACACCCAGGUAUCCACCACCCAAGGGAAGCAACGAAGGUGACCCCACCCAGCAUUUACCCUGUGUCCCUAUCUUGGACAUUGAUUCUGCUCCAGAGGUCACAAUCUCAUGCCGCCAAUUGCCAUAGAUUCGUUUUGCUUGGUCUUAAACUUUAUAUAAAUGAAAAUUCAACUUUAUGCUGUCUACAAGAGGCAUACUAACUCAUAAAAAUUAAAAGACUGACCCAGAAAACACAGCAAAAAGAAAAAUAUCACGAAAUGAUUGUCAGUCCAAUUAAAAUUCAAGACUGGAAGAAUUCAUGGGUCAGAGAAGGCAGGCUAGGCUGGCCCACUUUAGCCUAAAUCCCGGGAUCCAGCAAGCAUUCAUCUCACAUAGCUCGGGUUUUACUGAGUUGGUUCCUCUGCCUGCUUCUCUGACUUGUUUACCCGUGGAGUACACGAGAACUACAACCCCCAGCAUGCACUGCGCUGGUACAAGUGGAUCUGCUCGGCACCUAUAACCUAAUUACCUCUCAGGCUCACACAAGUCUCUGGCCGCUAAGCGAAUGAUCUCCCAAAGGGAUUAUUCUCAAGCAGCACAGAAACUGUCCCUAUGCCUCAGGUGGCCCCAGAACUCUUUCGUACUAGAGACUUAUCUGUUAAUAAAGUUAACAAAGGAAAGUGGCCUUCCAAGAAUGUUUGUUUGGGCCACUACCUGGAAGAAAUAACACUUGACCAUGAGAGACUUGGCUGAGCAGUGCUGGGUCAGCUUAACCAAAGAAGACCAGCCAUCACCCACGGCAAGAGCAGCUCUGACUUGGACCCACUGUUCCCCCAGCCUGUUAGCAGCCUGUGAACAAUCUUUAAGUGACCCCUGGCCCUGUCACAUCUCCAUUCAACAGGGUUCUUGGGGAGGAUGUGUGGACCGAGAACAGUGCCCACCCACACCACCUGUAAGUGUGGCCACGGCAGCCAGCCAGCAUGGAUGCUAAGUAACAAGUGGUAUUGGGGCACAGAUGUGGCGGGAGCGCUUUGGGGCAAAGAAAGAGGUGCUGUGAGUGAGGACAGAAAGGAAGGGGAAAAAAAAGCCUCAUGGGUUAGAGCGCCUCUCACCUUUGGCUCUUCUUCAGAAGACUGGUAAAAGAAAACAAGAAGAGAAAUUGGUUUCCCUGACUUCUCUAAAGCAAGCGUUCUUCAGAAAAGAGAAUCGAUCAGCCUGGUUAAAGUGGAUAAACUAUGUGAUGUCCAUCCAGAGAGGUGUCUAUUAAUGGCUGUAAAAUGGAAAGAUGAAUCAAUGGGACCGAUUAAUAUUUAUGAAGAGUUGAACUAGGCAGAGUGAAAAAGCCUUGUAUAUUGGAUAAGAAAGGAAAAGCAUUGCACACCAUAGGAUGCGUUUGUUUGGCUAAGGUUUCUGUUUUGAUCACUGGGUAAUUGUAUAGAGCAGGGGCGUAUGGUAGAGAAAGAAAAUCUAUAUCUAGAAGUUAUUGACUUUAUGUACAAAAGCACUGGUUGGUGCCUAUUUUUGAGGACCACUCCAUCUUAAAAAUAACUUUGGUUUUGUACGGCCUAGUUGUGGUGGAAAAGGAGCUCCAAAGAGUAAGCAAGUUUCCUACAAAAAGAAUCCAAGCUGUUGAAACUACAAUUAAGAAAUGCAAAGAGUUACUAAUUUUACUACUUAGAGGAAAGGAAAUUCACAAGCAGGAAAGAAACUGUGGAUCAGGGCAAGUUGUAACUCUAGAGGUUCAGAGAUAGGAGCUCUAAUUACACCAGGGCAAGGGAGUACUGUUUGGGGAAAUUUCUGAAACAUGAAAUAGGAAAGCUGAGGGUCAAAAUGAUAUUGUGAUGUGAAUAAAUAGAGAAGACAUGUUUGCAUGGAGCUCAGCUGGGUAAUCAUGGAAAGAAGGAGGGGCGAAGGAGGAAACUGAAAAUCGAAAUAAAGAACAGAAGCACAGACCAUGAAAUAUGCCAAAUAUAGUGUGCAAAUACUCAGAAGGCAUGGAAAGAUAAGUUAGAAGCCAAAACUCAGUUAUCACUAUCGUGUGAAGGAACAAUAAAACUCUUAGCAAAAACAAAUGACUUAGCAUGAGACCAAUACUGCUUUCCUUAGGUAGCUUGGUCCAGAGGGAAAAGGCUGAUAUCACUCCCUAUCAAGGGUUUUUAGACGGUUUAAGUGAGCUCUGCAAGUGGGAGACACGGUGAUGAUUAUUGACAGUUGCUAUCUUUCAAGGGGGAGAAGCAAACUGAUGUUACACAUUAGAAUUAGUUAGCACCACCGAACACAGGUUACAAAAAUACUGGGAGGAAUUCUCUCUCCUGAGCACAUUACGCAAUAUUUGCAAAUGUGUGCAGGUAAGUGUUGACUCUCUCAUCAUGCUGGACCUGGAAAUGGUUCUCAGCAAAUCAUGGCAUGAUUUCUUUUUCAAAGUUGGGUACACGAAUAUUAUCGUAACCAGCUAAGAGCAGGGAGACGUGGCAUGGGAGACUAACAGAUAGUGCAGCUUUUAAGAGAAGACGUAGAAAUCAAUCUAGUAACAAAUAUUUAUUAAGCAUUGGAGUGUGCUAGGCACCAAGAGAAAAGAAACCUCCACAGCUGAUAAAGCCUUUCAAAAUAAUGUCCUCAGUUAAUUUGCACAUUUCCAUGAGGUAGGUGUUGUUAGCCAUUUCCGUUAAUGAGAAAAAAAAAAAUGAGAUUCAGAAAGGUUAAUUAAAUUGGAGAUCUCCUGAUUUUUUAGUUUUAUAUCCUUCCCGUGUCCUUUCCAGGCUUAUAUUCUGGUCCUAUCACUUCUCAGCUGAGUUACUUCAACAAGUUAUUUAUUCUCUGUGUUCCCAGCUGUCAAAAUGAAAAUGCCAGUACCCACCUGGUAAGGAGUGAGAGAACAUUUAUAAAAAUGCUCGGCUGGGUACCUGACACAUAGGAGGUCCUCAGUAAAUUUGUUUUCUCCCUUUCUUCCUGAAGUACGGUGGCAGAGGGAUUCAGCCAGCCAGCCUGGGUAGCACAAGCCAUGAUGCCCUGCUGAAUCUGUGUUCUAGGGUCGGACAGGGGGAGUCCUUUUGCCUAGAGGGAUGGUGUGCGAGGCCUAAGAGGACUUGGGCAGAGUCUUGAAGGACGAGCAGGAUUUGCUGUGGUGGAGAGGUGGUCACGGGUUGAGCAGAUAGGAGAACCAAGGAAUCAAGGCAGGGAAAGAGAGGGGAUGCAUGUGAAGGGCCAGGAGCUGUUAACUAGUUUGCUAAGCAGCAGGCGAGGAUUUAGAAGGAGUUGGAGAAGUGUGGAGGGAGCUGAGGCUCUUGUGAGGGGAACUUUUAUGCUAAGGGUUCCAACUUGGCCCUGUGAAUGAAGGUGAGCUGGGGAAGGUUUGUGAACUUGGAGUCUCACCUGUAAAAGAUUAAUCUGGUGCCAGUGUACAGAAUGGACCGUCAAGGAAGAGGUGGAAAAACAAGGAAAAUUUGUAUUUUAUAGACACACACACACAUAGACACAGAGCCCUUUUUAUUAGAAAACAUAUAAUCAACUUAACCCCAUUUUAAAUGGCUUGGACAUUAAUUUUACUCUUGUAAUUGAUUAUAGAGGUUUAAAACUGUUGUGUUUUUGCCUUUGUGACAUAUUAUGGCUGUAUCUAAAAUUUAUUUGAUGUUAAAUCAAGAACAAAACUCUUCAAUUCUAUUGUUGUUCCUAAGGUAAAAUAUAAUCUACUUUGAGUCAAUUCACUGUGUCAUAAACUUUCCAGGAAUGGGAAACUUGAUAAAAAGCAGAGACUCACUGCAUAUGACAAUAAUUAAAUCUAUAUUCAACAAGUAUAAAAGAAUGGUUGUAGGGGUGAGCAAUUUGGAAGAAAAAAAGCCACUUGACUUAAAUAUGACAGAAAAUCAUACUGAGGUCUGACACCCCAUGACCUUUUUUGAGAUUUGAGGUUAUGCCAUGUAUUUGAGAAUAAAUAAAAUCCAUUUAAGUGUCUAUAUUAUUAAAUGAAUCGUAUUUUCAGAAAGCAUUAGAUAAAGUCUGUUUUAGACCUUGGAAUCCAUUUUUCUCAUGAACACAAUAUCGUAAAUAGAUGAGAAUUGAGUUCCCAGUCUAUAAAACCCUUAUUAAAUCAUCAUGUAGCUGAACUAUUCUAUAUUGGCAAUCAAUAGAGUUGAGUAAUCUUUUCAUAGUCACAGUGAUAAAAAAACAAAAAAUAUUGAAGAAGUAAUUUUUCAAAAAAUAGAGGUAUAGCACGUUUAAUUAUGGAUUAAGAGGCCGAUAAAUAAUUUUGUGGUGAUUCUGAAGAGACUAUCUGGGCACUUUCAAAAGCUUUAGAGUUGAUAAACUGUUCUUAUUAUGUCUAAUUUAAUAUUCAAAAUUUAUGACCAUUCAUUCAUUCAUCAAACAUAACUUAGAUAUCUACAAUAGGUAUUGUGCUAGCCGCUGGAGAUUUCAAUGUAAUGAAACAGUUCCUAACUUAAAGAAAAGCAGCACUUGAAAUUUUACUAAUGCAUUCAGUCAUUUACUUAACAGAUACUGAAUGUUUGCUACCGUGAGUCUAUUAUUCCUAUGCGUAUCAACUCCCAGGAAGCAUGUGUAGCUCGCUGAUGGAAUACAGAGAAAUAUUCCUGAGAGAAUACCAAAAAUAGUCCGUUUGUGCUACUAAAACAAAAUGGCUGAGACCGAGUAGCUAGCUUAUAAAGAACAGAAAGCUAUUUUCUCACAGUUCUGGAGGCUGGGAAGUCCAAGAUAAAAGCACCAACGGGUUUGGUUGUCUGGCAAAGGCUUCUCUCUGUUUCCAAGAUGGUGCCUUGUUGCUGUGUCCUCCAGAGGGAAGGAAUGCUGUGUCUUCACAUGGCAGAAGGCUGAAGGGCAAGUGAGCUAACACUGUGUGAAGCUUAUUUUAUAAGGACCUUAAUCCCAUUCAAGAGGGAG
This 13934-nucleotide long non-coding RNA is filed under the name Homo sapiens (human). RNAcentral's name for it is "HSALNT0024221". The record is from RNAcentral. Lineage: Eukaryota; Metazoa; Chordata; Mammalia; Primates; Hominidae.